CCUACGGGUGGCAGCAGUGGGGAAUAUUGGGCAAUGGGCGCAAGCCUGACCCAGCAACGCCGCGUGAAGGAAGAAGGCGUUCGGGUUGUAAACUUCUUGUCGCAGGGACGAAGAAAGUGACGGUACCGGAGGAAUAAGCCACGGCUAACUACGUGCCAGCAGCCGCGGUAAUACGUAGGUGGCAAGCGUUAUCCGGAUUUAUUGGGUGUAAAGGGCGUGUAGGCGGGACUGCAAGUCAGAUGGGAAAACCACGGGCUCAACCUGUGGCCUGCCUUUGAAACUGUAGUUCUUGAGUACUGGAGAGGCAGACGGAAUUCCUAGUGUAGCGGUGAAAUGCGUAGAUAUUAGGAGGAACACCAGUGGCGAAGGCGGCUUACUGGACUGUACCUGACGUUGAGGCUCGAAAGCGUGGGGAGCAAACAGGAUUAGAUCCCCCAGUAGUC
Molecule: ribosomal RNA, 443 nt
Filed under: uncultured bacterium
Lineage: Bacteria
Description: partial 16S ribosomal RNA
Rfam family: Bacterial small subunit ribosomal RNA
Source: RNAcentral